This 376-nucleotide ribosomal RNA is filed under the name uncultured bacterium. RNAcentral's name for it is "bacterial SSU rRNA". It matches the Rfam family "Bacterial small subunit ribosomal RNA", at positions 521 to 896 of the family's 1533-position model. The record is from RNAcentral.
UAAGACGAACCGUGCAAACGUUGUUCGGAAUCACUGGGCUUAAAGGGCGCGUAGGCGGGCCAUCCAGUCCGGGGUGAAAUCUUUCGGCUUAACCGGAAAAGUGCCUUGGAUACUGAUGGCCUCGAGCGAGGUAGGGGCAGGCGGAACUUCCGGUGGAGCGGUGAAAUGCGUUGAUAUCGGAAGGAACUCCGGUGGCGAAAGCGGCCUGCUGGACCUUUUCUGACGCUGAGGCGCGAAAGCUAGGGGAGCAAACGGGAUUAGAUACCCCGGUAGUCCUAGCCCUAAACGAUGGGUACUAGGUAGUGGACUUGACAUGGGUUCACUGCCGAAGCAAAAGUGUUAAGUACCCCGCCUGGGGAGUAUGGUCGCAAGGCUG